Molecule: ribosomal RNA, 253 nt
Filed under: uncultured bacterium
Lineage: Bacteria
Description: partial 16S ribosomal RNA
Rfam family: Bacterial small subunit ribosomal RNA
Source: RNAcentral
UACGUAGGGUGCAAGCGUUGUCCGGAAUUAUUGGGCGUAAAGAGCGUGUAGGCGGCCCGGUUAGUCCGCUGUGAAAGUCCAGGGCUCAACCCUGGAAUGCCGGUGGAUACUGUCGGGCUAGAGUCCGGAAGGGGCGAGUGGAAUUCCUGGUGUAGCGGUGAAAUGCGCAGAUAUCAGGAGGAACACCGGUGGCGAAGGCGGGUCUCUGGGCCGAAAUUGACGCUGAGGAGCGAAAGCGUGGGGAGCAAACAGG